UUCUUGCUUCGGCAGGAAAUAUACUAAAAUUGUAACAAUACAGAGAAGAUUUGCAUGGCCCCUGCGCAAGGAUGACACGCAAUUUCGUGAAUCGGUCCAUAUUAAA
Molecule: small nuclear RNA, 106 nt
Organism: Rana temporaria (common frog)
Lineage: Eukaryota; Metazoa; Chordata; Amphibia; Anura; Ranidae
Source: RefSeq, a predicted model, not a curated record